AACCUAGCACACCUGCGGUGUGUACCUGCGGAGGGAUCAUUACAGAGUUGCAAAACUCCCACAAACCAUCGCGAACCUUACCCGUACGGUUGCCUCGGCGCUGGCGGUCCGGAAGGCCCUCGGGCCCCCGGAUCCUCGGGCCUCCCGCUCGCGGGAGGCUGCCCGCCGGAGUGCCGAAACCAAACUCUUGAUAUUUUUUGUCUCUCUGAGUAAACUUUUAAAUAAGUCAAAACUUUCAAC
Molecule: unclassified non-coding RNA, 240 nt
Filed under: soil metagenome
Description: partial contains 5.8S ribosomal RNA, internal transcribed spacer 2, and large subunit ribosomal RNA
Source: RNAcentral